GGAAUAUUGGGCAAUGGGCGAAAGCCUGACCCAGCAACGCCGCGUGAAGGAAGAAGGCUUUCGGGUUGUAAACUUCUUUUCUAAGGGACGAAGGAAGUGACGGUACCUUAGGAAUAAGCNACGGCUAACCAUGCGCCAGCAGCCGCGGUAAUACGUAGGUGGCAAGCGUUAUCCGGAUUUACUGGCUGUAAAGGGCGUGUAGGCGGGACUGCAAGUCAGAUGUGAAAACCAUGGGCUCAACCUGUGGCCUGCAUUUGAAACUGUAGUUCUUGAGUACUGGAGAGGCAGACGGAAUUCCUAGUGUAGCGGUGAAAUGCGUAGAUAUUAGGAGGAACACCAGUGGCGAAGGCGGUCUGCUGGACAGCAACUGACGCUGAGGCGCGAAAGCGUGGGGAGCAAACAG
Molecule: ribosomal RNA, 403 nt
Filed under: uncultured bacterium
Lineage: Bacteria
Description: bacterial SSU rRNA
Rfam family: Bacterial small subunit ribosomal RNA
Source: RNAcentral